AUAUUUUUAAAUUGUUGAAAUUGUUUAAUUUUCAUUUAUUAAUACUUAUUAUAAAAUAUAUAACUUUAAAUUAAGACUUAAAUUUUUAUAAACAUUAUAUUAAGUAUCUAAAUAUAUUAAGUAUUUUAUUUUAGACAUAAAAAUAAACAUAUCAAUAAAUAUUUUAUAAUUAUUAAUUAUGUAAUUAUUAAGAUAUUAAGAAUUAUAAUUAUAAAUUAUAUAAAUUAUG
Molecule: transfer RNA, 229 nt
Filed under: Pneumocystis jirovecii
Lineage: Eukaryota; Fungi; Ascomycota; Pneumocystomycetes; Pneumocystales; Pneumocystaceae
Description: tRNA-Pseudo(TTC)
Source: RNAcentral